RNAcentral lists this ribosomal RNA (460 nucleotides) under uncultured bacterium. RNAcentral describes it as "partial 16S ribosomal RNA". It matches the Rfam family "Bacterial small subunit ribosomal RNA", at positions 338 to 795 of the family's 1533-position model. The record is from RNAcentral.
CCUACGGGUGGCUGCAGUGAGGAAUAUUGGUCAAUGGACGAGAGUCUGAACCAGCCAAGUAGCGUGAAGGAUGACUGCCCUAUGGGUUGUAAACUUCUUUUAUAUGGGAAUAAAAUGUUCCACGUGUGGGAUUUUGUAUGUACCAUAUGAAUAAGGAUCGGCUAACUCCGUGCCAGCAGCCGCGGUAAUACGGAGGAUCCGAGCGUUAUCCGGAUUUAUUGGGUUUAAAGGGAGCGUAGGUUGAGUGUUAAGUCAGUUGUGAAAGUUUGCGGCUCAACCGUAAAAUUGCAGUUGAAACUGGCAGUCUUGAGUACAGUAGAGGUGGGCGGAAUUCGUGGUGUAGCGGUGAAAUGCUUAGAUAUCACGAAGAACUCCGAUUGCGAAGGCAGUUCACUGGACUGCAACUGACACUGAGGCUCGAAAGUGUGGGUAUCAAACAGGAUUAGAUACCCUAGUAGUC